GCUCAAAGUGGAUGCAGAAGUAUUGAAACCAUGUAUUAUGUUACUUCUGGGAGCACAUAAUCAAUAUUCUUAAGGUGACUGUUUCUACACAAAUUGACAUGAUUUUUUUCAAAUCAUGUUGUAAUCAUGACCUAUCCUUAAAAGGGAUUUAAGUAUCCCAUGAGGACUGUUAUAAAUCAUUUUGGCAGGCGAAUGUCCCAGAUCUGGUGAUAAAUUGCUCCUUUGCCAUUUGCUCUGCCGUCGGCAGGAAGGUGCUCUGGCCAGCAUGGGUCUGCUUUCCCGUGUGGUCUAGCUGGUUUGGGAAUGGUCUUCUAUGACCUGGAUUGGUUAAUCAGGGCUUUGAUUCACUUGGAGGUGCAGGGUCUUGGUAAAGGUCCUGACCUUGAUUUGAACUAGUACUGCCCAGGCCUUUGUGCCGCUGUGGGAGGGUCUACUCUCAAGCUGUGUUACAUGUGCCUUUUGACCUCUAGUUCAUCAGUCAUAUUUUUUAUAUAUAUAUAUAUAUAUAUAUAUAUAUUUCACUCAGCACUGCUUAUUAUUUGGAGCACAAAAUCAAUAGCUGAAACACAACAUGGGUAAUUGGUGUUCAUUUUUAGAUCGGUUUUAAAAAAAAUUUAUUCUUUUAUUUAUUUUUUUUUUUUUUUUUUUUUUUUUUGAUUUUACCUGCAGAGCUGAAGCUUAAUUUCUAAAUUAAAUUUAUCCUUUUUGUUGUUGAAUCACAAAGGAGCCGGAUGAUUGCUGCAGCCAAUGGAAGGGAUCAUGGCAUUUGCCACUGGAAAUGGGUGACAUGAGAAGUGCAGAUUAAUAAAAACGAGUAACUUUAAAAAUGGGUACAAGGGUCGCCACUCAGAAAACCGUGACCUGAAAAGUGCAGAUGAAUUUAAAAUGGUUGCAUAGGUUUCCACAAAAUUCAAGAUCUGUCUGUGGGAGUCUUCCAGCACAAGGUCCCUCUGGUGUGAGGAGUCCAGGUCACGGAGAGCACAGGGAAAUGCCGCAUUGGGUGGAAAAACAAGCGCAGAGGCCCCUGCAUUCCCAAGACCAACUUUUCUAAUUUCCAAACUCUGGAACAUGCACUCACCGAAACGGGAGCUUGGUCCUAACUAUAAACUAGUAAUGAUGUGCUGAAAGGUGAAUGGGUUAUGAUUAACAUUAUUGAAAUAAAUUCUUAUUGAAACAUUUAUUUUUGUAUCCAUUUGUUCAGGAUUUAGAAAAAUAUGGGAGAACUAACCAUGUUUUAGGGUGACUGAACUUUCGCCCAGCAAAACUGCAAUGACUACAUCUUCCUCUAGAACUUGUGUUCUUUGACUGAGUUUAGCAUGAGCCCUGGCCAGAACCAGAAAAAGGUCAUGUGUAUGAAAUGGUCAUAUUUCUACUUGUAUGGUGUGCUGCUUCAUCUGCAUAAUCGAAGAUUAAUACAAUUAGAUAAUUAUUUUUAGAUUUGUAUGUUCAUUAGCUAAAUAUUAAAGUUUUGGAAAAGACCAUCUCUAAAUAAACUGACAUCGUAAUGUAAAUAUAAUAAAAAAAAAUAACAAUUGUUCAGCCCUUUUGGAAACUACGUGCUGGAUUUGUAGACUUGUUAUAUAACUGCUCCAUCUAGUGGUAUAAAUCAGGCAUUCAUAUAUAGCUGUGGGUAUUUUGUUUUUGUAGCACUUACAUCAGUUUGACAGUGACUGAAACUGGAUCUCUCUGAGUCUGAACAAACCCUGUGACUGCCCAUGUAAUGGCUGUGGAUC
This is a long non-coding RNA of Carassius auratus (goldfish), 1733 nucleotides long. The record is from Ensembl. NCBI's taxonomy places the organism in Eukaryota, Metazoa, Chordata, Actinopteri, Cypriniformes, Cyprinidae.